Molecule: long non-coding RNA, 234 nt
Filed under: Mytilus galloprovincialis (Mediterranean mussel)
Lineage: Eukaryota; Metazoa; Mollusca; Bivalvia; Mytilida; Mytilidae
Source: RNAcentral
CCCGAGGAUAAUGAUCCAUCUCGGGACGGGGUAAUGAACUGCAACUGUGCCUAAAAAAUGCGGAUCAGAAAGGAACAUAGCAAACCGCGCAGAGUCACCCACCGAGAGAAGAAACUUCCCCAACAGCAAUUGUUUAUAAAUGGUUGAAGAUAGGAGCUGUUCUCGUGUACACGAUGAAAAAUUAGAAGAUUGAUAAUUAAUUUGCAUUAUAUUUUAUAAAAGUUAAAAAAAAAC